AGGAGGCGUCGCCUGUACUGCUGCCGUACCACGUCGUGCAUUCGUCAUACUCCGGAACGGUACCCGCGACCUACCCAGCCGGAAAAGCCCGCCUCACCAAACGGAAGCGCCACACCCUGACAGUCACGUGAAUACGUGAUGGUCGGCCUGGCUCCCCCUAGCUGAUUCACUUGGGCUGACUGGUUUCGCAUCGUGAGCCGGCUUUGUGUGUGUCUUGGGCUUCUUGUUUUCGGCUGUCAUGUGUAUUUUGUCUUUUCAGUUUUUUUUAUCGGUUCUCCUUUCAGGUUUAACUGCUUCGUGAGUUGAAUAUAAGGAUUGUAAAUAUUUCUUUGGAAUGAUAUGGUUAAUAUUUCUCCUUUCAGGUUUA
Long non-coding RNA from Phragmites australis (common reed), 367 nucleotides. RefSeq lists it as uncharacterized. The record is from RefSeq and is a predicted model, not a curated record. Lineage: Eukaryota; Viridiplantae; Streptophyta; Magnoliopsida; Poales; Poaceae. The transcript has 2 exons.